GUCGACGAUGGCCUGCUGAGGCGACGACCGGCGGGCUACUUCCCCGCGCCGGGACUGGAUCCGCAUCCGGCCGUUGACA
RNAcentral lists this transfer RNA (79 nucleotides) under Mycobacterium antarcticum. RNAcentral describes it as "tRNA-Ser". The record is from RNAcentral. Lineage: Bacteria; Bacillati; Actinomycetota; Actinomycetes; Mycobacteriales; Mycobacteriaceae.